AAGUUUGAAAUAAAUUUUAUAUUCAGUUUCGACCUGAAAUUUUAGUUAAUAAAUUAUUAACUCUAACUUA
RNAcentral lists this transfer RNA (70 nucleotides) under Odontocimbex svenhedini. RNAcentral's name for it is "tRNA-Arg". The record is from RNAcentral. Lineage: Eukaryota; Metazoa; Arthropoda; Insecta; Hymenoptera; Cimbicidae.